AUGCACGCUGGCGGCGUGCCUAAUACAUGCAAGUCGAGCGAACAGACGAGGAGCUUGCUCCUCUGACGUUAGCGGCGGACGGGUGAGUAACACGUGGAUAACCUACCUAUAAGACUGGGAUAACUUCGGGAAACCGGAGCUAAUACCGGAUAAUAUAUUGAACCGCAUGGUUCAAUAGUGAAAGACGGUUUUGCUGUCACUUAUAGAUGGAUCCGCGCCGCAUUAGCUAGUUGGUAAGGUAACGGCUUACCAAGGCAACGAUGCGUAGCCGACCUGAGAGGGUGAUCGGCCACACUGGAACUGAGACACGGUCCAGACUCCUACGGGAGGCAGCAGUAGGGAAUCUUCCGCAAUGGGCGAAAGCUUGACGGAGCAACGCCGCGUGAGUGAUGAAGGUCUUCGGAUCGUAAAACUCUGUUAUUAGGGAAGAACAAAUGUGUAAGUAACUAUGCACGUCUUGACGGUACCUAAUCAGAAAGCCACGGCUAACUACGUG
Molecule: ribosomal RNA, 496 nt
Filed under: uncultured bacterium
Lineage: Bacteria
Description: partial 16S ribosomal RNA
Rfam family: Bacterial small subunit ribosomal RNA
Source: RNAcentral